ACGCUCGACACCUACGGGNGGCAGCAGUGGGGGAUAUUGCACAAUGGGGGAAACCCUGAUGCAGCAACGCCGCGUGAAGGAAGAAGGUCUUCGGAUUGUAAACUUCUGUCCUCAGGGAAGAUAAUGACGGUACCUGAGGAGGAAGCUCCGGCUAACUACGUGCCGGCAGCCGCGGUAAUCUGAGCGGGCUGGCAAGGC
RNAcentral lists this ribosomal RNA (198 nucleotides) under uncultured bacterium. Its description in RNAcentral is "partial 16S ribosomal RNA". It matches the Rfam family "Bacterial small subunit ribosomal RNA", at positions 328 to 539 of the family's 1533-position model. The record is from RNAcentral.